AUGAAACAGGAAACGCGCAGAAGAAGACGCACCUGGAGACCCAAACAAUCUCAUGUGAUAUUCCCACCAACUAGCGUUUGUUUUGCUCUGGGAAAACCUCAAAUUCCCGAACUAUCCAUCGUCCAAACAUUGCUCUCCCUCGGGUUUUCCUCUCGCCGGGUCAGCUGCGGACGGCUCCCAGCGCACCUCAUGGAGACCUCCGCCAGACGCGUCCAGAUGUACACCCAGGACGAGAGGCGCGUCAUAGAGGAGGCGGUCAACGCUGCGAUACGCGCCCUGCUGGACGCCAUGCACCGCGUCAACAGCGAUAAAAUAGUCAAGUACCAGAGUGUCGUGGAGGAGAGGGACAAGGAGAUCAGUCGGCUGGAGUACAAAUUGAGACAGAAUGAGCUGGAACUGAGGGUCGUGCGGGGACAGAGGGAUGGGUACCGGAGGCGGGCUCUCGAAGGGCAGGGUCCCAGUGAUGAAGAACAUGAUGAGGUCCUCGCGGGCUACGAGGUCCCUGCUGGAGAGGAUGCGAUGACGAAUGGCUUUACCGUGCAGAAGGAUUUCCCUAGUGGUUCAGCAGAGAGACCUCCGUCGCUCUCCAGUGGUGACGACCCCCACCACACCGGCCAGCCCUCGCCGCACCACCGACACAGAGUCCCCCGGGACGCCUCCUCCUGCCCCCCCCUCUCCCCCGGGCGCCGCCACUCGCCCCGCCCCCCCGGCGCUCGGGGCAAAGACGAGGAGGAGGAGGAGCCGUCGGGCUGCGAGGCGUUCUUCAUCAAGCUGGAGAUGUGUGAGCAGAGCUGUGGGAGUGGCCAACAGGACGACAGGCAGCAGCCGGACGGCCCCGACCACAGCCCCGACCACAGCAGACGGCUGACGGACGCUCAGAGGAACAAGCGGUACCGCCAGCGAUGUCGCUCCACCCCCGAGGGCCUUCGGGCCUGCAGGGAGAAGGAGAGGAUACGCUACCUGAAGAGGAGGGUACUGGUGGCAGAGAUGUCGGAGGAAGCCCGGAGGAGAAAGAGGGAGAUGUGGAGAGCGGCAGCCAGAAGGCACCGCGACCGCAAUACCAUGCGGCCUGCCGCCCCACUGCCCGCCAGCAGGGGGCGACAACGACGACCGCUUCGACGACUGGCCGGCGCUGGGCGACGCGGAGAGUCCGACGCGAGAGGAGCUGGACCACUUCACGCGCAUGGAUCACCGACAGCAUCCCAGCAACCCUGA
This 1215-nucleotide long non-coding RNA is filed under the name Gadus morhua (Atlantic cod). RNAcentral describes it as "lncRNA (ENSGMOG00000027035.1)". The record is from RNAcentral. Lineage: Eukaryota; Metazoa; Chordata; Actinopteri; Gadiformes; Gadidae.